Molecule: ribosomal RNA, 489 nt
Filed under: uncultured bacterium
Lineage: Bacteria
Description: partial 16S ribosomal RNA
Rfam family: Bacterial small subunit ribosomal RNA
Source: RNAcentral
GAUGAACGCUAGCGGCAGGCUUAAUACAUGCAAGUCGAGGGGCGGCAGGACUGUAGCUAUACAUUUGCUGGCGCCCGGCAAACGGGUGCGGAACACGUACGCAACCUACCCAAAACUGGGGGAUAGACCGGGGAAACCUGGAUUAAUACCUCGUAACCUCCUUAAGUGGAAUCACUUGAUAAGUAUAGCUCCGGCGGUUUUGGAUGGGCGUGCGCCUGAUUAGGUAGUUGGUGCGGGUAACGGCCCAACAAGCCUGCGAUCAGUGACUGGUGAGAGAGCACGACCAGUCACGAGGGGACAGAGGCACGAGCCCGACACCUGAGGGAGGAAGGAGUAAUGAAGAUUAGUCAAUGGACGCAAGUCUGAACCAGCCAGGCCGCGUGAAGGAGGAAGGUCCUCUGGAAUGUAAACUUCUUUUAAGAGAGACGAAACACGGAUAUUCUUAGCCGAUUGACGGUACCUCAGGAAUAAGCACCGGCUAACUCCGUG